RNAcentral lists this non-coding RNA (96 nucleotides) under Paenibacillus stellifer. Its description in RNAcentral is "c-di-GMP sequence". It matches the Rfam family "c-di-GMP-I riboswitch aptamer". Rfam says of the family: GEMM was predicted in a large-scale screen for bacterial structured RNA regulatory elements. Lineage: Bacteria; Bacillati; Bacillota; Bacilli; Caryophanales; Paenibacillaceae. The record is from Rfam by way of RNAcentral.
AUUGAAUAUGGGCAAAAUUCUCCGAAAGGGAAUGACGCAAAGCCAUGGGUCUACAGUCUCGAACGUCAUAGGGACCAUGACUGCCAGGUUGCUGAU